Molecule: ribosomal RNA, 474 nt
Filed under: Weissella confusa
Lineage: Bacteria; Bacillati; Bacillota; Bacilli; Lactobacillales; Lactobacillaceae
Description: bacterial SSU rRNA
Rfam family: Bacterial small subunit ribosomal RNA
Source: RNAcentral
ACGCGUUGGGAGCUCUCCCAUAUGGUCGACCUGCAGGCGGCCGCGAAUUCACUAGUGAUUGGAAACAGGUGCUAAUACCGUAUAACAAUGACAACCGCAUGGUUGUUAUUUAAAAGAUGGUUCUGCUAUCACUAAGAGAUGGUCCCGCGGUGCAUUAGCUAGUUGGUAAGGUAAUGGCUUACCAAGGCGAUGAUGCAUAGCCGAGUUGAGAGACUGAUCGGCCACAAUGGGACUGAGACACGGCCCAUACUCCUACGGGAGGCAGCAGUAGGGAAUCUUCCACAAUGGGCGAAAGCCUGAUGGAGCAACGCCGCGUGUGUGAUGAAGGGUUUCGGCUCGUAAAACACUGUUGUAAGAGAAGAAUGACAUUGAGAGUAACUGUUCAAUGUGUGACGGUAUCUUACCAGAAAGGAACGGCUAAAUACGUGCCAGCAGCCGCGGUAAUACGAUAAUCGAAUUCCCGCGGCCGCCAUG